UGCCUAAGGUCACCUAGCUAGUUGCCAGGGAACAGAGGCCUGUCACUGGGUCCCAAGCCCAGGCUCUCUCCACGCAACGCCAAUGCCCCUCCCUCCCAUCCCCAACAUAGGAAGCAAUGUUGGGAUACAUACAUGUUAACAUCCUGAGGAUCAUACAGCUCAAAAAUGGACGUGGAGAGAGCUGUGGAGCUCCGAGCCUGUCUGAACUGUUCAGGAAGGACUUAAUAAAAGGGCACUCUAAGAAUGUUGAUGAAAUCAUCAAUAAGAUGUUACGAGCAUAAAGAAUGGAGUUGGUGCCUGAAGUACAGCGGAUGUAUGUGUGUAAAGUUUCUAUGUGAAUCUGCUGGAUUUCAAAGUAAGUUGUGGAUAUUAUGACACUUCAACCCUAAAGAUUUCUGCAUGCAUCUCCUACAAAUAUGGACAUUCUCCUGUAUGACCACAAUGCCGUUAUUAUGCCUAAGAACCAAAGCCAGUUGAUUACAUCUCCCCAGUAUGUCUCCAAUUUAGCCGCUUUUCUUCAGGCCACAAGUUUCCUGUAUCUUCAAGAGUGCAAUCAUCUCCUAACGGUUCCUCCUUCAAUCCACGCUCCACGCUGCUGCAAAGAGAACUUUCGACAGUGGAGAUCUGAUUAUGUCACUUCCCUACUUCAGACUUUCCAAUGGUUUUGCAUUACCUUCAAAAUAAAGAAUAAACUUCACACGGCAGACAGAGCCUUCAUCAUCCAGAUUCAUCUAGAGCAG
Molecule: long non-coding RNA, 740 nt
Filed under: Equus caballus (horse)
Lineage: Eukaryota; Metazoa; Chordata; Mammalia; Perissodactyla; Equidae
Description: lncRNA (ENSECAG00000057768.1)
Source: RNAcentral